CGGGCAGUAGCGCAGCCAGGUUAGCGCACCUGCUUUGGGAGCAGGGGGUCGCGAGUUCGAAUCUCGCCUGCCCGA
This 75-nucleotide transfer RNA is filed under the name bacterium. RNAcentral describes it as "tRNA-Pro". It matches the Rfam family "tRNA". Rfam says of the family: Transfer RNA (tRNA) molecules are approximately 80 nucleotides in length. The record is from RNAcentral.